UACGAAGGUCCCGAGCGUUGUUCGGAAUCACUGGGCGUAAAGGGAGCGUAGGCGGCGUGGUAAGUCAGAUGUGAAAGUCCCGGGGCUACCACCCCGGAACUGCAUCCGAUACUGCCGUGCUAGAGGAUUGGAGAGGUAGCUGGAAUUCUUGGUGUAGCAGUGAAAUGCGUGGAGAUCAAGAGGAACACUCGUGGCGAAAGCGGGUCCCUGGACACUUCCUGACACUGAGGCACGAAAGCUAGGGGAGCAAACAGG
RNAcentral lists this ribosomal RNA (255 nucleotides) under uncultured bacterium. RNAcentral's name for it is "partial 16S ribosomal RNA". It matches the Rfam family "Bacterial small subunit ribosomal RNA", at positions 524 to 776 of the family's 1533-position model. The record is from RNAcentral.